GCAGAGGCGGGGCAAGAAGCGGUGGGAAGACAUGGGGGGAAGGGGUUAAUCGUAGUGACUGGAGGUAAAGGGGUGGUAGGUGGUACGCUAAGUCGAUUGUUAAAGCACUGGGCUCAACGUGGGAAUGGCAGUCGAUACUGGUGAGCUAGAGUUCGGUAGAGGGGGACGGAAGUCCCGGUGUAGCGGUGAAAGGCGUAGAUAUCGGGAGGAACAUCGAUGGCGAAGGCAAUCACCUGGGCCUGAACUGACACUGGGACACGAAAGCGUGGGUAGCAAACAGGAUUAGAUACCCUAGUAGUC
RNAcentral lists this ribosomal RNA (300 nucleotides) under uncultured bacterium. Its description in RNAcentral is "bacterial SSU rRNA". The stretch from base 54 to 300 matches the Rfam family "Bacterial small subunit ribosomal RNA", at positions 549 to 795 of the family's 1533-position model. The record is from RNAcentral.